RNAcentral lists this long non-coding RNA (308 nucleotides) under Salvia miltiorrhiza (redroot sage). Its description in RNAcentral is "long non-coding RNA (SMIL_LNC000682)". Lineage: Eukaryota; Viridiplantae; Streptophyta; Magnoliopsida; Lamiales; Lamiaceae. The record is from RNAcentral.
ACGAAAUUCCCAGAUCUGAUACCAAAAGGGAUCAUCACAUUACACGGUGAGAUGGAGAAAGAGAGAUGGAGAGAGAGAUAGGGGGUUACCUGAGAUGGAGGAGUGGCGAUGCGACGAGCACGGCGGCGGCGCGGCGGAACUCGUCGGAGAACAGGAUUGAACAAGAUUUAAAAACCCUAGGUAGUUACUAAUUUAAAUUAAGGGAAAGAAAAAAGAAAGAAAGGGGGAGGGGAGAGAGACGCCAGCCUCGCCGCGCCGGAGGCAACGACAACCGGCGACGUUCGCCGGAGAAAUUUGGGAGAAGGAAA